UACGAAGGGGGCUAGCGUUGUUCGGAUUUACUGGGCGUAAAGCGCACGUAGGCGGAUCUUUAAGUCAGAGGUGAAAUCCCAAGGCUCAACCUUGGAACUGCCUUUGAUACUGGGGAUCUCGAGUCCGGGAGAGGUGAGUGGAACUGCGAGUGUAGAGGUGAAAUUCGUAGAUAUUCGCAAGAACACCAGUGGCGAAGGCGGCUCACUGGCCCGGUACUGACGCUGAGGUGCGAAAGCGUGGGGAGCAAACAGG
Molecule: ribosomal RNA, 253 nt
Filed under: Beijerinckia indica
Lineage: Bacteria; Pseudomonadati; Pseudomonadota; Alphaproteobacteria; Hyphomicrobiales; Beijerinckiaceae
Also listed under: 1 other name
Description: partial 16S ribosomal RNA
Rfam family: Bacterial small subunit ribosomal RNA
Source: RNAcentral